Molecule: ribosomal RNA, 503 nt
Filed under: uncultured bacterium
Lineage: Bacteria
Description: partial 16S ribosomal RNA
Rfam family: Bacterial small subunit ribosomal RNA
Source: RNAcentral
AUUGAACGCUGGCGGCAGGCUUAACACAUGCAAGUCGAGCGGGGUGAUGGUGCUUGCACUAUCACUUAGCGGCGGACGGGUGAGUAAUGCUUAGGAAUCUGCCUAUUAGUGGGGGACAACAUCUCGAAAGGGAUGCUAAUACCGCAUACGUCCUACGGGAGAAAGCAGGGGAUCACUUGUGACCUUGCGCUAAUAGAUGAGCCUAAGUCGGAUUAGCGAGUUGGUGGGGUAAAGGCCUACCAAGGCGACGAUCUGUAGCGGGUCUGAGAGGAUGAUCCGCCACACUGGGACUGGGGCACGGCCCAGACUCCUACGGGAGGCAGCAGUGGGGAAUAUUGGACAAUGGGGGGAACCCUGAUCCAGCCAUGCCGCGUGUGUGAAGAAGGCCUUAUGGUUGUAAAGCACUUUAAGCGAGGAGGAGGCUCUUUUGGUUAAUACCCAAGAUGAGUGGACGUUACUCGCAGAAUAAGCACCGGCUAACUCUGUGCCAGCCGCCGCCGUAA